ACAUAAGCAAAUAUUAAAACCUCAAUAAUUCAGGUUAAAUGGAGAACACUAGUAGAUUUAUAGUAUAUAGGCUGGAUUUCACUGAAUAGUUUAAUCAAAUUCUGACAAUGGCAAUCAUGCGUUGCUGAUAAAAAAUUGAAAAUACAAUCCACUACUUCCUGUAGGAGUAAAUUUAUAAAAUACAACUGAGGUUUAUACAGCCUACAGUACUAAAGUGUAAGAUUGAAGCGUGGAUCCAGAGAAUUGGUAGAGUGCUUCCUGGGACUGAAAAGCUUGCUGUUACACAGCAGAAUAAAAGAUCUUGAAGGCAUCUGAUCUUCUUCCUUUAUAUAUCCACUGACUGGUACAAAAUAAUGCUUAAUAGAUGUUUGCUGAAUGAAUAAUGGAGAUUGUAAAAACUGAGUAAAAUCUUAAGGCUCAUUAACAAGAAUAGAUGGUAGAAUGUCAAUAUAAGUGAUUUGGCCAGUCUUGGGAGGUAGAUGGAAGUGUGGCAGGCAAAAGACAGAAAGGAUCAAGCAUUAACUUUAUACUUUUAUACAGUACCAUCUUUAUAUACUACCUUCUUUAUACACUAAUAGUUUAAAAAUCUUAAUUUUUAAUCUAAAAAUUCUUAAAUUAGAAAAAUAAUGCACUGUCUGGGAAAAAUACAAAACAAACGGAACAGGAAGUAAAUAACAAAAACAAUUCUUUUUAAGGAUUUCUGCAAUGUACAGUGGACAUGAAGUGAAACAGAACCAUAUCACCAGAAUUUGUAUUGAUUUGUUCAUGUAUUUAGUUGUCAGCUGCAUAGAGGGAUGUCAUUAUGUGCAGAGCAAAAAAUUAACUUUCUGGCAAGUUUUGCUAAACAGUAUUCAUUUUACUGAAAGAGAAUAAGUGGUAGUCUCACUUUAUCUAAACAUUUAUCCACUACGAGUUUGGAAUGCUCAGAGAAAACUUGAAUAAUCCAAGUCCCUUGUAGGUUAAGCUUAUUUUAUAUCUUGUACACUUUACUGGUUACAUUAAAAGAGGAAGGCUCAUUUUUAAUGGUUUACCAAGAGUCUAUAAUGUUUGAGAUAUUGGUAGAAAAGCUAAGUGGUUAUGAACAUGAGUGAUGGAAGGAAGAAUUUAUGCAUUUGAUUUAGAAAAAUAAAUAUCAGGUAAACUAACUCCAUGAGAGUAAAGAAAGAAAUGCUGGAGGUUCUGUAAAGUGGAGAAGGAUGAUGCCCUCAGAUAUUGGUUGAGGAAAGAGAGACGAGACAGGAUUAAAAAGAGGUUAAUUCAAAACAAGAUAAUACUAAAUGUUUUUACAUUAAUUUCUAAAAGUAACACUGUAUCUCUUCCCUAAAAAUAUUAGAUUUCUGGCUUCUAAUUGAUUAAUGCACCAGAGAGAAAAAUGGUUUGGGUAAAACAUGCAAGAAAUUUGUAAAAUAACUAUGAAUGUAACGUUCAAAAAGGAACGGUUCCCUAAGUUCAUAUGCACAAAAAUGUUUAUUAUUUAUAACUAGUUAAAAAAUUAUAACAGCUCACAAACCCUUAUUUGAAACUUUUGGAGCCAAAUGUAUUUUAGAAUUCUGAAUGUACUGGAUUUUAGAAAGAGGGUAACUUGGAUGCAGUAUGUAAAGCCCUCCAGUGGGGUCUUACACUGCACUCUGACACGUUAAUAUUUCUCCAGCAAAGUUAUGAAUACUUACACUUAAUGGAAUAAAGACCAUAUACAACUUUCCAUUAGUUCUAGUCAGGUUUGGCUGCCAAAUAAGAUGUAGUGCCAAACUUACUGAAAACUUUGAGUUUUCAUAUCUUUCUGACUUUCAGAAAUAAGGGAUUGUGGACCUGUACCACAAUAUUGGAAGACAAAUUUAUUGUUAAACUUACGUUACAAAUUUUUACACUUAAAAUAAAAAAGACAGUACCAAGUGUGUAGAGAAUUUAAACACGUUUUAUUGUCAGAGGAUGUCAUUUGAGGAAUCUCCCCAUCUCAUUACAUAGCUCUCACAAAAUCUUUACAUAACUGGCCUCUUGGAGAGAAGUAAAAUUACUGGAGAAAACAUAUCACACUCCAAAUCUGCAUGUUCUUUUAAGUAUGAAUUAUCGUGUACACUUAACUAUAAAGUAAUUCGUGGAAGGGUUUUCUUCAUCACAUCUUACAUAAUUUCACCCACAAUAUAAAAAAGUUUAUACUAUUAAACCACUAGGAUCGGUAGAGCUGGCCAAGUAUAGAAACCACCUAAAUAUGCAUUAACUAGUUAGGGCCCCGGGUACCAGCUAUCGUAAAAGACAAAAAUCACGUUCUACCUAAGGCGGGAUCUCCGUAGCCAUCUAGGCUGUGGUCACUAGACCGAGGACAGCGUCCCAACUAGAGAAGAGGAAACUCGAACUCCCAGAAGCCCCCGCACGGAGGCGGGGCGGGGGUUUGCCAGGCCCUGGAACGCGGAGGCCUGAGCUCGCGGAGGAUGGCGGGAACUAGAAGAGCGGCCGUCCGCAGUCCUCCCUCAUACCCUUGCCCCCGCGACCCGGCCCCUUCUCAAGCCCUCUGCACGAAAGGAAAGAAACUCCGAUGGAAUAGACUUUUUAUUCCACAGAAGCGUUUUGUUUCUCAGCUGCUGAAAGGAGUUGUCCAUGAAGUCUCUGCAGCCAGAUUCUUUGGAGAUUUUUUGAAAGGAACAUAGUCAGGUUUCAAUUACCCAUGUUAAGUGUAGACAGCAUAGAUUAGUGAAAGCUGCCAGCAGUUUCCAGUCCUUUGUAAGUGGCCUGUACUUUAGAGCAGAGAUCCAUAACCCCUGAGCAGUGGUCGGGUACUGGUCUGUGGCCUGUUAGGAAACUGGCUGCAGAGCAGGAGGCGAGUGGUGGCGGAGCGAAGCUUCAUCUGUAUUUGCAGCCGCUGGCCCCCACUAGCAUCAUCACCUCAGCUCCACUCCAGAUCAUCAGGCAUUAGAUUCUCGCAGGAGCACUGGUUCCUUGGUGCCAAAAAGGUUGAGGACUGCUGCUUUAGAGGCUGUUAGCCAGUGUUUUCCUUACAAACGGAGAGACUGAUAAGAGUAUCUGAGCCUCGGUUUCUGCAUCUAUAAAAACGGGUAUUCUACUUUUCUGGGUAAUUAAUAAAAGAUAAGCAUUGUAAACUGCACA
Long non-coding RNA from Pteropus alecto (black flying fox), 3102 nucleotides. RefSeq lists it as uncharacterized. NCBI's taxonomy places the organism in Eukaryota, Metazoa, Chordata, Mammalia, Chiroptera, Pteropodidae. The record is from RefSeq and is a predicted model, not a curated record. The transcript is spliced from 2 exons.